Molecule: ribosomal RNA, 499 nt
Filed under: uncultured bacterium
Lineage: Bacteria
Description: partial 16S ribosomal RNA
Rfam family: Bacterial small subunit ribosomal RNA
Source: RNAcentral
ACUCAAAUGAAUAGACGGGGGCCCGCACAAGCGGUGGAGCAUGUGGUUUAAUUCGACGCAACGCGAAGAACCUUACCUACUCUUGACAUCCAUGGGAUUUUGCAGAGAUGCGAAAGUGCCUUCGGGAACCAUGAGACAGGUGCUGCAUGGCUGUCGUCAGCUCGUGUCGUGAGAUGUUGGGUUAAGUCCCGUAACGAGCGCAACCCUUAUUCUUAGUUGCUAGCAGGUAAAGCUGAGAACUCUAAGGAGACUGCCGGUGAUAAGCCGGAGGAAGGUGGGGACGAGGUCAAGUCAUCAUGGCCCUUACGAGUAGGGCUACACACGUGCUACAAUGGGCAGUACAGAGGGAAGCGAAGCCGCGAGGUGAAGCGAAUCUCAAAAAGCUGUUCGUAGUCCGGAUUGGAGUCUGCAACUCGACUCCAUGAAGUUGGAAUCGCUAGUAAUCGCAGAUCAGAACGCUGCGGUGAAUACGUUCUCGGGCCUUGUACACACCGCCCGU